Molecule: long non-coding RNA, 1773 nt
Organism: Portunus trituberculatus (swimming crab)
Lineage: Eukaryota; Metazoa; Arthropoda; Malacostraca; Decapoda; Portunidae
Exons: 2
Source: RefSeq, a predicted model, not a curated record
UCUCUCUCUCUCUCUCUCUCUCUCUCUCUCUCUCUCUCUCUCAUACACAUAAACAACACAUUUUAUUCAUUAUUUAUUCAGAUUUCACUCAAGUUUCUCUUUUCCAUUCAGUAUUUCCGCUUUGUCUCACUUAAUUCAAUUGUACGUGUAUGCCGCUACUUUCUGUUUUGUUUGUGUCUUGUAAUAUAUUUGUGGUGUAUCCUCUUAUACUUUACCUGUCUUUCUUUUAGAGCACUGAAGCUAAAUUCUCUCUCUCUCUCUCUCUCUCUCUCUCUCUCUCUCUCUCUCUCUCUUGCGAUAACAAAUAUAACAUCCCAGAAGAAAAAAGGAACCGUAACUCAGAGACAAGGAUACACUCAUAUACUGACGCAACACGAGUAAUAUUAUUUUGUGUUUCUCUUCCCUGUCAUUCCUCGUGCUAAAAAGUGUGUCCUUCCUCAUUGUGCAACGCGGCAAUAUACUAAACACUUAUUUUGAGCCAUAGUGUUAUUUUAUUUUCUUUAUCUCUUGAACGUAAAAGAGUAGAGGAGGAACGGCAGAUGGAAGACGAGAAAUAAGGAGUAUACACAUCAGAUUGUCAGGAAAGAUACGAAAUGUCGUGUUUUUAUGUUUUCUUUCAGGCAAAUUUUACUAUUGGUACAGCACUAAUGGCAUCAGUACUUCUAUAUAUGUUCCCCCCUUCACUCAUCUGUAAACCUCUUCAGUACCAUGACACGGUUUCAUAUUAAAUUAUUCUGGUUGCUAUUUGGUGAUUUUAUACAACUUCAGAAACUUAUGUUGUUGUUAGAUAUAGUGAAGACUCUGGCCAUUAAUGUUUUGACCUCCAUAGACCCUUCCUAAUAUAAAUAAAAUCGUCUAAUCAUACCUAAAAUUCAUGGUAAAAUUGUAUCCCAGUACAAAUCAUUAUGUCCUUUUUUCGCUUCACUUAUUCUUAUCGUAUAGUUUCUUAACCCCUUCAGUACUGAGACAAAUUUUUAUCUUGAGUUUUUGGGGUGUGAUUAGGCGAGUUUAUUUACAUUAGGAAGAAUCUAUAGAGGUCUGAAGAUUAACGGUCAGAGUCUUUACUAUCUUAAUCCCUCUCGUAGGUUUCAGAAUCUGCAUAAAGUCACUAAAUUGUAAGGAGAAUGAAUAUGGAAACAUGUCCUGGUAGUGAAGGGGUUAAUUCUUCCCUUCUCUAAGACUACACCCUGGAAAACUCCCCCAAACCUUACUGUCAAUAUUACCACCAUCACUUCAAAAAAUAUCCAAGACAACUGUGCGUCACUACCAACACAACCACUACUACCAACACCUUCGCAACUACUACAAACAUCACAUCUCACUUCUCACGCAACACACAUCUGGGAGACAAGAAUCCAUGAGCAACACAAGGAAGGGAAAGAAAAAAAACCACAGCCACUAACGACUCACACCUUUAUUUCGACAGCAUGUGAGUAUAAUCGUUAAUACUGGCAGAUUUUUGCAUCGAUAAUAUUCAUGAGACGGAAAAGGACGGAGAGGAAGAGGGAGGUGGUGAGAAGAAGUGAUGAUAGACAGCAUAAGAUAUGGAGGUGAGGGGAGCUAGGAUAUAGGGAAGUAAAAAUUGGUAUGGGGGAGUGAGGGAGAGGGAAAAUGAGGGAGAGGGAGAGCUAGGGAGGGUGUGAGGGAGUUUUCAGUCACCAGAGGGCAUCACAGACUUUGACGAAGAGAUGAAGCUACAGAGAGAGAGAGAGAGAGAGAGAGAGAGAGAGAGAGAGAGAGAGAGAGAGAGAGAGAGAGAGAGAGAGAGAGAGA